AAGGAGUUAUCCAAAAGGUUAAGGCAUUAUAUCUACAUUAUAAAAUACAGAGGUUCAAAUCCUCUACUCUUUA
This 73-nucleotide transfer RNA is filed under the name Rhizopogon vinicolor AM-OR11-026. It matches the Rfam family "tRNA". Rfam says of the family: Transfer RNA (tRNA) molecules are approximately 80 nucleotides in length. Their secondary structure includes four short double-helical elements and three loops (D, anti-codon, and T loops). Lineage: Eukaryota; Fungi; Basidiomycota; Agaricomycetes; Boletales; Rhizopogonaceae. The record is from Rfam by way of RNAcentral.